ACCGGGGUGGCGAAAAGGGAAACGCGCUCGUAAGAGCGAGCUCUUAGUAGCUCUUGAGGGUUCGAGUCCUUCCCCCGGCACCA
RNAcentral lists this transfer RNA (83 nucleotides) under Clostridiales bacterium PH28_bin88. Its description in RNAcentral is "tRNA-OTHER". It matches the Rfam family "tRNA". From Rfam's summary of the family: Transfer RNA (tRNA) molecules are approximately 80 nucleotides in length. Their secondary structure includes four short double-helical elements and three loops (D, anti-codon, and T loops). Further hydrogen bonds mediate the characteristic L-shaped molecular structure. tRNAs have two regions of fundamental functional importance: the anti-codon, which is responsible for specific mRNA codon recognition, and the 3' end, to which the tRNAs corresponding amino acid is attached (by aminoacyl-tRNA synthetases). tRNAs cope with the degeneracy of the genetic code in two manners: having more than one tRNA (with a specific anti-codon) for a particular amino acid; and 'wobble' base-pairing, i.e. permitting non-standard base-pairing at the 3rd anti-codon position. The record is from RNAcentral. Lineage: Bacteria; Bacillati; Bacillota; Clostridia; Eubacteriales.